This 459-nucleotide ribosomal RNA is filed under the name uncultured bacterium. RNAcentral describes it as "partial 16S ribosomal RNA". It matches the Rfam family "Bacterial small subunit ribosomal RNA", at positions 338 to 795 of the family's 1533-position model. The record is from RNAcentral.
CCUACGGGAGGCAGCAGUGAGGAAUCUUGGUCAAUGGGCGCGAGCCUGAACCAGCCAAGUCGCGUGAGGGAAGACGGUCCUAUGGAUUGUAAACCUCUUUUGUCGGGGAGCAAAAGACGCCACGCGUGGCGUUCCGAGAGUACCCGAAGAAAAAGCAUCGGCUAACUCCGUGCCAGCAGCCGCGGUAAUACGGAGGAUGCGAGCGUUAUCCGGAUUUAUUGGGUUUAAAGGGUGCGCAGGCGGAAGAGCAAGUCAGCGGUAAAAUUGAGAGGCUCAACCUCUUCGAGCCGUUGAAACUGGUUUUCGUGAGUGAGUGAGAAGUAUGCGGAAUGCGUGGUGUAGCGGUGAAAUGCAUAGAUAUCACGCAGAACUCAGAUUGCGAAGGCAGCAUACCGGCGCUCAACUGACGCUCAUGCACGAAAGUGUGGGUAUCGAACAGGAUUAGAUACCCGAGUAGUC